Small nuclear RNA from Rattus norvegicus (Norway rat), 163 nucleotides. Ensembl annotates it as RNA, U4 small nuclear 5. Its record names the gene Rnu4-5. The record is from Ensembl. Lineage: Eukaryota; Metazoa; Chordata; Mammalia; Rodentia; Muridae.
AGCUUUGCGCAGUGGCAGUAUCGUAGCCAAUGAGGUUUAUCCGAGGCGCGAUUAUUGCUAAUUGAAACUUGCAAGUUAUUAUGGAAUUGUGCCCUUGGACAAUAAUCAUAAAACUGCGGGCGAAGGAUGAACAGACAUAAGGAAGUGCUUUAGUCAAAAAGCA